This 272-nucleotide ribosomal RNA is filed under the name Brassica napus (rape). RNAcentral's name for it is "rRNA LSU_rRNA_eukarya". It matches the Rfam family "Eukaryotic large subunit ribosomal RNA", at positions 1901 to 2084 of the family's 3401-position model. The record is from RNAcentral. Lineage: Eukaryota; Viridiplantae; Streptophyta; Magnoliopsida; Brassicales; Brassicaceae.
UAGGCAAGGGAAGUCGGAAAAAUGGAUCCGUAACUUUGGGAAAAUGAUUGGCUCUGAGGGCUGGGCUCGGGGGUCCCAGUUCCGAACCCGUCGAUUAUUGGCGGGCUGCUUGAGCCGCUAAAGUGGCGAUAGCGGACUGCCUCGUGUCGGCCGGGGGACGGACUGGGAACGUGUCUCUCCCCCAAUCCUGAAUAGGAUUGUUGGGACGACCAUAGUUCGAGGAAACGUACCAGCCAGUCUUAGGACAUCAAGGCUAGACUUAACCAUAUAUA